GAUGAACGCUAGCGGGAGGCUUAACACUGCAAGUCGAGGGGCAGCAUAGGGUAGCAAUACUCUGAUGGCGACCGGCAAACGGGUGAGUAACGCGUAUGCAACCUACCCUGUACAGGGGGAUAACCCGGAGAAAUUCGGACUAAUAUCCCGUAAUAAUAUCCGGAGGCAUCUUUGGAUAUUUAAAGUUCCGACGGUACGGGAUGGGCAUGCGUAACAUUAACUGGUUGGUAAGGUAACGGCUUACCAAGGCUAUGAUGUUUAGGGGUCCUGAGAGGGUGGUCCCCCACACUGGUACUGAGACACGGACCAGACUCCUACGGGAGGCAGCAGUGAGGAAUAUUGGUCAAUGGGCGCAAGCCUGAACCAGCCAUCCCGCGUGCAGGAAGACGGCCCUAUGGGUUGUAAACUGCUUUUCCAGGGAGAGAAACUUACGCACGUGUUGCGUGACUGACGGUACCCUGGGAAUAAGCAUCGGCUAACUCCGUG
This 486-nucleotide ribosomal RNA is filed under the name uncultured bacterium. Its description in RNAcentral is "bacterial SSU rRNA". It matches the Rfam family "Bacterial small subunit ribosomal RNA", at positions 28 to 507 of the family's 1533-position model. The record is from RNAcentral.